GACGAACGCUGGCGGCGUGCUUAACACAUGCAAGUGGAGCGACGAACCAGAGCUUGCUCUGGGGCAAAGCCGCGAACGGGUGAGUAACACGUGAGUAAUCUGCCCCGAUGACUGGGACAACCCGAGGAAACUCGGGCUAAUACCGGAUGUCGUGCCCACACAUAAGUGUGGUCAGGAAAGGUAGCUUCGGCUUCCGCAUCGGGAGGGGCUCGCGGCCCAUUAGCUAGUUGGUGGGGUCAAGGCCUACCAAGGCGACGAUGGGUAGCUGGUCUGAGAGGACGAUCAGCCACACUGGGACUGAGACACGGCCCAGACUCCUACGGGAGGCAGCAGUGGGGAAUCUUGCGCAAUGCGCGAAAGCGUGACGCAGCAACGCCGCGUGAGGGAAGACGGCCUUCGGGUUGUAAACCUCUUUCAGGAAGGACGAAGGUUCGCCGGUGAAUAGCCGUGUGGAUUGACGGUACUUCCAUAAGAAGCCCCGGCUAACUACGUGCCAGCCGCCGCGGUAACAC
This 512-nucleotide ribosomal RNA is filed under the name uncultured bacterium. RNAcentral describes it as "bacterial SSU rRNA". It matches the Rfam family "Bacterial small subunit ribosomal RNA", at positions 28 to 526 of the family's 1533-position model. The record is from RNAcentral.